RNAcentral lists this ribosomal RNA (253 nucleotides) under uncultured bacterium. Its description in RNAcentral is "partial 16S ribosomal RNA". It matches the Rfam family "Bacterial small subunit ribosomal RNA", at positions 524 to 776 of the family's 1533-position model. The record is from RNAcentral.
UACGUAUGUUGCAAGCGUUACUCGGAAUCACUGGGCGUAAAGCGUACGUAGGCGGACAUACAAGUCAGAAGUGAAAUUUCAGGGCUCAACCCUGAACCUGCUUUUGAAACUGUAUGUCUUGAGUAUCAGAGGGGUAGAUGGAAUUCUUGGUGUAGCGGUGGAAUGCGUAGAUAUCAAGAAGAACACCAGAGGCGAAGGCGGUCUACUGGCUGAAUACUGACGCUGAUGUACGAAAGCGUGGGGAGCGAACAGG